This 97-nucleotide signal recognition particle RNA is filed under the name Proteus mirabilis. Its description in RNAcentral is "signal recognition particle sRNA small type". It matches the Rfam family "Bacterial small signal recognition particle RNA". Rfam says of the family: The signal recognition particle (SRP) is a universally conserved ribonucleoprotein involved in the co-translational targeting of proteins to membranes. Archaeal SRP consists of a 7S RNA and homologues of the eukaryotic SRP19 and SRP54 proteins. The record is from RNAcentral. Lineage: Bacteria; Pseudomonadati; Pseudomonadota; Gammaproteobacteria; Enterobacterales; Morganellaceae.
UGUUGGUUCUCCCGCAACACUAACUUGUUAACUCGGUCAGGUCCGGAAGGAAGCAGCCAUGGCAGGUGUCGUGUGUGCUGGGAUGUCGCUGGCAAGG